CACCAGGCGCGAAAACUUUACAAUGCUGGCAACAGCGAUAAGGGGACCUCGAGUGCCAGGAUACAAUCCUGGCUGUCGUAAUGCCUAAAAAGCAUUGCAUAGCAAGGGCCGGGCAAGACCGGUGCCAGCCGCCGCGGUAACACCGGCGGCUCGAGUGGUAACCGCUAUUAUUGGGUCUAAAGGGUCUGUAGCCGGCUGACUAAGUCUCUUGGGAAAUCUGGCAGCUCAACUGUCAGGCUUUCAGGAGAUACUGAUCGGCUCGAGACCGGGAGAGGUGAGAGGUACCUCAGGGGUAGGGGUGAAAUCUUGUAAUCCUUGAGGGACCACCAGUGGCGAAGGCGUCUCACCAGAACGGAUCUGACGGCAAGGGACGAAAGCUAGGGGCACGAACCGGGUUAGAUACCCGGGUAGUCUUAGCCGUAAACGAUACUCGCUAGGUGUCGGCCACGGUGCGACCGUGGUCGGUGCCGUAGGGAAGCCGUGAAGCGAGCCACCUGGGAAGUACGGCCGCGAGGCUGAAACUUAAAGGAAUCGGCGGGGAGCACAAGGGCGAAUCGCGG
RNAcentral lists this ribosomal RNA (560 nucleotides) under uncultured archaeon. RNAcentral's name for it is "bacterial SSU rRNA". It matches the Rfam family "Archaeal small subunit ribosomal RNA", at positions 333 to 900 of the family's 1478-position model. The record is from RNAcentral.